Molecule: long non-coding RNA, 1388 nt
Filed under: Salmo salar (Atlantic salmon)
Lineage: Eukaryota; Metazoa; Chordata; Actinopteri; Salmoniformes; Salmonidae
Description: lncRNA (ENSSSAG00000093766.1)
Source: RNAcentral
UUAAAUUAGUUGGGCUGUGGUGAUUGUCUGGGCAUGAGAAUAGAACAACUGGCAGUUGGGGGGGAGAGAGAGGAGGGGGGAGAGAGAGGAGGAGUUACAGCUGAGAAGAUAAUUUCUGUGAAUAACUCAAGGGCCCCAUUCCAAUACUCUACAAAUACAUCCUUCCUUCCCACGGGUCCCAUUCCAAUACUCUACAAAUACAUCCUUCCUUCCCACGGGCCCCAUUCCAAUACUCUACAAAUACAUCCUUCCUUCCCACGGGUCCCAUUCCAAUACUCUACAAAUACAUCCUUCCUUCCCACGGGCCCCAUUCCAAUACUCUACAAAUACAUCCUUCCUUCCCACGGGCCCCAUUCCAAUACUUUACAAAUACAUCCUUCCUUCCCACGGGCCCCAUUCCAAUACUCUACAAAUACAUCCUUCCUUCCCACGGGCCCCAUUCCAAUACUCUACAAAUACAUCCUUCCUUCCCACGGGCCCCAUUCCAAUACUCUACAAAUACAUCCUUCCUUCCCACGGGCCCCAUUCCAAUACUCUACAAAUACAUCCUUCCUUCCCACGGGCCCCAUUCCAAUACUUUACAAAUACAUCCUUCCUUCCCACGGGCCCCAUUCCAAUACUCUACAAAUACAUCCUUCCUUCCCACGGGCCCCAUUCCAAUACUCUACAAAUACAGCCUUCCUUCUAUUCAUGCACAUCUCUCCAGGUUUCCCACGUUGAGCCAACAUUAUAACAUUACAUUAUAACACAUUGUCUUUAAAACACGUCAAAACCUAAGUUCUACUCUACAGGUGACAGUGAAGGGCAGUAAGGACCUUGUUUACACAAAGCUCUUGGAAUGGGGGAGGAGGGGUGAGGGAGGAGGGACAGAGAUAGAGGAAAGGGGUGAGGAGGGACAGAGGGUGAGGAGGGGUGAGGGAGGAGGGACAGAGAUAGAGGAAAGAGGUGAGGAGGGGUGAGGUAGGAGGGACAGAGGGUGAGGAGGGGUGAGGUAGGAGGGACAGAGAUGGGGGAAAGGGGUGAGGAGUGAUGAGGUAGGAGGGACAGAGGGUGAGGAGGGGUGAGGGAUGGGGGUGAGGGCAGGUAGAUGUACAGACAACAUACUUUUUUUUUAAAGAGUUUCAGGUGAGAAAGAUGAGAAGAACAGGAAGUGACAGACUGGUAGGGAGUGGGAAAGAGAAGAAGGACAGGAAGUGACAGACUGGUAUGAAGAAGUAAAAGAUGAGAAGAACAGGAAGUGACAGACUGGUAUUAAGGAGUAAAAGAUGAGAAGGACAGGAAGUGACAGACUGGUAUGAAGAAGUAAAAGAGAAGAAGGAAGCACCAAUUAUAUAACAUAUACCAUCUAAGAGUUAAAUAUUACUCCAGGUUAAAGUUAACCUCCUAAC